GGUGAUGAGGGAAAGUUGAUGAGGGAGAGGUCAGGGGAUUUAUUAUUGGUUGAGAAGGGGCUAUUUUGAUAAUGGUUUGUCAUGGGUUAUAUUCCUCAGGUUUAUUUUGUUUGGGAAAUUUAA
Molecule: long non-coding RNA, 123 nt
Organism: Octopus sinensis (East Asian common octopus)
Lineage: Eukaryota; Metazoa; Mollusca; Cephalopoda; Octopoda; Octopodidae
Exons: 2
Source: RefSeq, a predicted model, not a curated record